ACCUCAAAAAAUUUCCUGAGAAGCUGUAACUUAUCAUCCCUUCCCUGUGUCACUGACAGCAGCAAGAAAUUGUACACACGGAAGAAUACUGACUGCAAUUCUGAUGGUGUGGGAGGUGGCCACAAGGUUUACCGAACCCUGAACGAAAUACCUCGCUGACUGACUGGCAGGAGCGAAGGGUGCAAGGCAAAGAGCUAAAAGCAUUGCAGAGCCUCGCUAGCUCAACCAGACUUCGGGUCUCAGGUGGUGUUACUUCACCUACCACUGAAUUGUCUCAGCCCUAAAAUGAUAAAAUUACCAACCCAGUUGCCAGCACUGGUAAUCAUCUUGGAUUUUCUAAGCUGCCUCUUACCUCAGUGUCUGCAAGCGAGCACCUUCAGGGCCAUAUUGUUUUGACACUGACACAUUUGUAUCUGGCAGUCCUGGAGGGUUGAUUCAGUCAGCAAAUAGUUAAAUAAGCAAAAACCAACCCAAACUUCAGUAUUUGAAAUACAGCAUCUGAUGUAGCUCGAAGAGCUCUGAAAUAUCACCAGAGGCUGCUCUUCUGUUCAUCCUUCCGACUACUAUAAGUUUGUAAGUAUAACACUAUCUUCCUGCCACUUACUUAGCCACAUACCUGGGUAAGAGCCUAGUAUUACUUUUACCUGUGUAUAGCAAACACAAGGGCCAGGGCUGCCACAGAUUUUUCA
Molecule: long non-coding RNA, 689 nt
Organism: Pezoporus occidentalis (night parrot)
Lineage: Eukaryota; Metazoa; Chordata; Aves; Psittaciformes; Psittacidae
Exons: 5
Source: RefSeq, a predicted model, not a curated record